This 492-nucleotide ribosomal RNA is filed under the name uncultured bacterium. RNAcentral's name for it is "partial 16S ribosomal RNA". It matches the Rfam family "Bacterial small subunit ribosomal RNA", at positions 29 to 507 of the family's 1533-position model. The record is from RNAcentral.
AGUGAACGCUGGCGGUAGGCCUAACACAUGCAAGUCGAACGGCAGCACAGUAAGAGCUUGCUCUUACGGGUGGCGAGUGGCGGACGGGUGAGGAAUACAUCGGAAUCUACUUUUUCGUGGGGGAUAACGUAGGGAAACUUACGCUAAUACCGCAUACGACCUACGGGUGAAAGCAGGGGAUCUUCGGACCUUGCGCGAUUGAAUGAGCCGAUGUCGGAUUAGCUAGUUGGCGGGGUAAAGGCCCACCAAGGCGACGAUCCGUAGCUGGGUUGAGAGGAUGACAGGCUCCCCGGGCACAGUGCCACGUCCAGCCCGCCCAGGGGCGGAAGCGGUGGGGAUUUUGGGAAAAUGGGCCAAGGCUUGCCCCACCCAUGCCGCGUGGUUGAGGGAGCCUUGGUGGUUGUAAGGCUGUUUUUUGGGUAAGAAAAAGGUCAAGUUGCACCCCCCGUUGUUGUGACGGUACCCAAAAAAUAAGCCCCGGCUAACUACGUG